This 15999-nucleotide long non-coding RNA is filed under the name Capsicum annuum. RNAcentral's name for it is "long non-coding RNA (CANN_LNC018702)". Lineage: Eukaryota; Viridiplantae; Streptophyta; Magnoliopsida; Solanales; Solanaceae. The record is from RNAcentral.
CAUUUUUUUUCCUUUAGCGUACCUUCUUUUUUAUCUUACUCCACUAAUCGUCUUUUGACUUGAGAAAUUCUCCUAUUUCUUUUUUCACUCCUUCCUACAAUAGCUUCUUCCGAGUCUGUAUUCAACCUUCCUGAAAUUGUAGGGGUAACUUUUAGGAAAUUUUAAGAAUGAUUGUGGACUUUUCGGAGAGACUUCGAAGACUUGGAGUAUGUUUCAUCGGACUUUUGUAUAGCGGGUGUAUAUUUCUGUCUAGAGAUGCUCUAUGAAAAAUGGAGUUGGAUCAAUUCGCCUUUGAUUCGAAUCAAUACAACACAUAUAAGCACAUAAAAAAGUUAUAUCUCACAAGCAUAUUAUAAUAAAUGCGCAUCUUAAUUGGGGACCCUUAUGAGCCAAGGGUUGGCCUACCGAGUUUGAAGGAAGUAUAUGCCUUUUAAAACUAAUCUAUUAUCCUCGAGAUUAUUUUCAUAAAUAUCCAAAAGGACAUAAUGCCUAUAAAGUAGCAAAUGAGGGAUACAAUAGUUAAGAAAAAGGAAAAUAAAAUGUGAGAAAACAGUCCCUCGUAGGAGAUAAAAAUAUAAACAUUGAUAAAUGCCUACAAAGCAACAAAUGAGAGAUACAAUUUUUUAUGGAAAGGAAAAAUAACAUGAGGGAAAAAUAGCCCUGCGUAUGGGAUAAAACAAAAAACACUAGCAUCUAGACGAUCCUCCAUCGAUCUCUGCCUUCUUGGCUUUGUCCACCUCAUGCUACAUGUGAUAUCUAUUUGUGAUCAAGUAUCUUCCACAUAAUUGAGACUUUCAUAUCAAUUAGGAACAGAAAAAUAUCCUAUAUGUUUCUAAGGAUUUUCUUGACUUUCGACUUCAUAUAUUUUCAUCUGGAUUGAACAUUAUCUUGAAUCUUCUUAGGGGAUUGGUUGCUCCAUAUCUACACAAAAGUAAAUAAGGUAAUCCUUUCCCCUACCCCAAAUGAUAAUGGAUUUAUAUUAAUCGACAUAUAUUUCCUUCAACAUACAAACAUGAUUCAUUUGUGAUUGACUCGUGGUCAAUAGACGCAAGGUAAAUUUUCUAAUUGACCCAAUACCCCUUCAGGUAUUGGGUCAUCCUAGGCUCAUGCCUAAGAAGGGUUUUGAUUUUGUUCUAUCCUAGGUAUCUAAAGUGGGCUUCGACUAAGUUUCCAAGUGGAAAACUUGGAUUUGAAAAUAGACGCAGUCAUCGGACGCCUAACGUACCAAUUAACUGUGUUAUUUUCAAAAAUUUUAUUUGAAAUUGAUCAAUAGAUACCGCGACAAUCGCGAAAUCCCAAACAGUUUGUAUAUCAAAUGUGGGAAAAUGCCAUGAAAGCAGACAAUAGAUAUAAUCACAAGAUAAUAUCAAACCACUACAUAUUAUCAAGUAAAUUCAAAUAAAUUAGCCAAAACAAUCUAAAAUUUGGUUUGAAUCUUAAUAAAUGCUCCAGAAGAGUCGCAUUUUCUGUUUUAUCCCUUUUCGACUCGAAGGAUUGAAAAAAUAUUGGUUUUGACCUUUUAAAUUAUUUCAAAACCUUGAAAGAAAGUUUUAAAACAGCUUAAUAAAUUACAGUGUUGCCACUUGAUUUUUAAGAGAAUAUCAAGAAAAACUAAAAAUAUUUCAAAAACUUGAAAACAGAAAUAAACCUUUGAAAUAGAGAAACUAGGUAAGGAUUCAGGUAAUGCCAUGAAAAGAUUUUUAAGUCACUCAAGAGCAUCUAUUAAAAAACAGUUAAUCAAAAGAAAAUUUUGACUGAUUUGGAGCUUUGAAAACAUGGCUAAUUUGGUAAAAUCAUUCAAUUCAUUUGCAAAAAUAUGGCGUUCAUUAUAUUCGAGUGAAAAAACUAUCUAUUUGAGUUAUAUGAAAAAUCUACUUGAAAGAAAAGGUUGACUAAGUCCAGUUCUUUUAUUAACUCGAGAAAAUAAAUUAUUUUUGAACAAAAGAAAUCAAGUAAACAAGUUAUGAAAUUAUAACCAAUUAGUGAAAAAAUGCUUGAUUUUUGCAAGCAUAAUUAAUUUUUGGGUUGAAAAGAGUUCUUCUAACUUAAACAAACCAAUUUAACAUAUUAAUAAAAUAAAAUAUCAUUUUUUAUUUUCUAAGGGCUCGUUCAUCAAGAAAGCUAUUUUAGUGAUUUAAGAUAUUAAACUUUUGUGAUAAAUGACAACGAAAGUGAUCUAAGAUAUUAAACUUAUGUGAUGAAUGACAAUGAAAGGAAAAUGUAAAAUGACAAUUUGAAGGGGAAUUUAGUUUGAUUUAACCAAAUUUAAGAGAUCAUUACAACAAAUAUUCAAAUAAGAAUUUACAAAUAAACUAAAGGAGAAAAGUUUAAGUAUUGGGUCCUUGUUUGGCCUAAUUCAAAUUUGGCCAGCUUUUGGGCCAAUUUUCAGCCCCUUUUCAGCUGUAUAUCAUCUUCUCUCUUUCGAAUUUUUGUAUGUAUACAUACUGGGUAUAAGCUUGCAGCUUCGUAUACCAAUGACCUUCUUUCAUUUUUUGCGCCUUUCAACUCGUAUAUCAGCUUCCAACAUUCAAAUGUGGUGUAUAUUUAUUGUAUAUCUUUAUAUAUAACCUUGAUCUUCAUGAUUUAAGUUUGUUUUUGGACUUGGAAGGGAGCUUGGACUCGAUGAGAGGAUGGACCUCAUUGGCCCAUAGGAGGAAUGCAACGGUAAAGAGUCCAUUUUAGACUCAAACAAAUUCAUAUGCAAAGAGAAAAAUAAAGAAAUUAAUACUCGUUCAAAAGUAUCAAGUGAUAGACCAAAUAAAACAUUAUGAAUCAAAUUUACAUAAUAAGAAUCAGUAAGUCACAUGAAGUCAUACUCGAGCUACGUCAAAGUUUGAACACCCACACCCACAUUUUUUAUUUUCUUAUUUUUUUUUUCAAAUCAAACAUAUUCAAUAACAUGAAAAAACACUCAGAUGCAAGACAAGGUGUAAAAGGAGAACCAAGAUAAAUCAAGAAACCCAAUUGCUUGAGAAAAAUAUCGAUCAUUAAUCAAAGUUAAAAUUUUUAAGGUUAACUAUUAAUUUCAUUGGACAUUAUGCAUUAAAGGAACUUGAAUUUAAUUUCUCUAAGCAAAUAACAAAGACACACCAACAAUAGCAAUUAAUAGUAGGCAAAGAGGAGUAUAAGAUUGAUUUUUUAAGAGAAAGUGAUUGGAGGCAGUUUUUAAAGUCUCGAUAAAACGGAACAAAAGGGAAAAAAUUUAAGACACAGACAAGUAUCAAACACUUAUGUUCAUCCUACCCUCCUCUUUUACAAGUUUAAACGAGCCGUAAAUCAAAAUAUGUCUUAGAAGGAUCUCGACAUUGUUUGUACAUAAUAUUGACAUCCUCCCUAUUCUUUUUAACAUUGUAUGUCAAAGUAAACUUUAAGAGUAGUCUCAUUUGCAACAUUAUAAGCUACGAUAAUAAAUCUAAAAUCCCAAUUAAGUAAUGUCAAGCUAAAAUAAUGAAGGAAUAUUUUCUCUCACUAGGAAUAUAUUUAUUCAAAAAUUACUUGAAGUUUUAGUAAUAGUACAAAUAAAUAUUUUCUCUAACUAAAAAUUAUACUAAAUACUAAGUAAUAUACAAUUUAGUAAAGUCUAUAAUUUCUAUAAUGUGUCGACGUUUACCAUGUCAAACUAUAUUGAGUUUUGACUAUCGUUACUGAAAUAUUUUGAAAUUAUAUUUAAAAAGUAUUUAAAUAUGUAAUUUAAAUUUAUUUAAACAUAAUAACUAAUAGAAAAGAAAUAUAAGUAAUGAUUCUCAAGUUAUCAAAUCGACGUAAUAUUAAGGGCGUAAGACUAUAACAUUAAUAUGUAACUCUCUUGCGUUGUUGUUAACUAGAUCGACAUUUACGAACUAUAUGAAUUCUAUGAAAUUUAUAAUGUGUUGAUGUCUAUUAUGUCUAAAGUAUUUUAAAUUGUGACUAGUAAAUAUUCUCAAGUUAUAUAGAAAAUUAUCUAAGAAUAUAGUAUAAAUUUAUUUCUACACAAUAAUUAAUAAAAUUGCUUAAUUAGAGGUCAUAUCAAUAACAAAUAUAAGUAGUAAUUCGCAAGUUAUUACAUCAGCGUAACAUAGGGGCAUUAAACUACAACAUUAAUGUGUGACUCUCUUAGAUGGGUGUUAACUAUGGCCGAUGCUUAUGAAUUAUAUGAUUUUAAUUAUUUUUUAACGUAUAGAUGUUUAUCAUAUCUAGUGUUUUGAAUUUUGACUGUCGUUACUUAAAUAUUUUAUAUUUAAAAAAUUAUCUAAAUAUAAUAAUUAAUUAAAAAAACUCAAUUAAAGGUCAUAUAAAUAACAAAUACUAUAAGUAAUGAUUCACAAGUCAUCAUAUUGAAGUAGACCACAAGUUACAACAUUAUAUGACUCUCUUUGAUUGUUGUUAACUAAGGUUGACACUUACCAAUUAUAUGAUUUUUAUAAUGUGAUUACUCUAUCAUGUCUAAAGUAUUUCAAGUUUUGAAUAUUGUUAUUGAAAUAUUUUAAAUUAUAUUUAAAAAUUUUAUUUAAAUACAUAAGAUUUACUUAAACAUAAUAAUUAAUGAAAAUGCAUAAUUAAAAGUCAUAUCAAUUGUAGGGGGUGCAGAUAACUUGGGUAACUUGAAUAGAUCUAUUAUAACUUUAAUGGAUCUAUUUUUAUUUGUGCGUGGAUAUUUCUUAACUUCUCUAAACAUUUUAAUUUUAUUAAUGUCCAUAUCUUGGGGGGUGAUUAGAUGGUAUUUGAUUAAAUGCUUUACUAUAAUAUUCUUUAGUUUUUUUCUAUUAGUCUUUAUAAUUCUUGUAUAUUAUUUUAAAGGUAUUCUAAAUAUUCUAUAUCUUUUGUUCUAAAAUAUUCAAUUAAAUUCUCUUUCAUAAGUAUUUUUUUUGCUCUUAUUUCUUCCAUAUCUUGUCUCCAAUAUUUUAAAUACUCAUAGUAUCCUAAAGUAGUUGUAAUACUGCAAAUUUUUUUAUAAUAAUUUAUUCUAAUUGUACUAUAUCUGAUAUUAAAUUCUAGGUUAUCUAUUUCGGUAAUUAUCCUCUCUUUUUCGUCUAUGAAUAAUUCUAUGUCUAAAUCAUAUUCUAAACUGUCUUUUAAUUCUAGUUGUUUUAUGGUUUUAUUUAUCCAAAUUAAUCUUUCUUUCAAUUGUUCUCUUCUUUUUCAAAGUUCGUUUCUAUAAUUAAUAUCUUCGUAUAGCGAACUUUAUUUUUCUCUAACUCUUUGAAUGUAUUCUAGCAUUCUUAAUUUAUAUAAUAUCCAUCUGAAUAAUAACUAUCUGAAUUAUUUCUACCAUAGAAAUCUAUAUUUUCUAAUUCAUCUUCUAUCCAAUUAGUACUUAGUAACUCAUCUUCAAAAUUAAAAAAAAAAAAUUUCAUAUUAUUUUCUUUAUGUCUUCUAAUUCUAAGUCUUCUAUGAUAUAUAAAACAAGUAUCUUAGUGUCAUCAGAUAUAUAAUUUGUAAUAUUAUUCAUAUUAUUCUUAGGUUUCUACGAAUAACUUGGAUAACUUGAAAUUGAAUUCUAGUAAUUAAAUGCUUUAUCAUAGUAUUUAUUAGUCAUUUGUUUUAAUCUUAAUAAUUCUUGUAUAUUUUCAUAAAGGAAUUCUAUAUAUUUUAUAUCCUUAGUUCUCAUAUAUUUUUGUAGAUUAGUUUCCAUUAGUUUUUCUACUAAUUGUAUAUUUUUCAUAUCCAUUUUCCAAUAUUCUAAAUAUACAUAAUUUAUCAUGGUUGAUGUGUAGGUUUGGUAUNNNNNNNNNNNNNNNNNNNNNNNNNNNNNNNNNNNNNNNNNNNNNNNNUCAGAUAAAUAAGUAUUCAUUUUUCAUAUGAUGUUUUUUUCAAAAUAUUCCCUUCAAUCAUACACAUAACAAAAUAUGAUCAUUUUAGAUUACUAUAUACUAGAUUAUUCUUAAAUAACAUGUUCUUCGAUUAGUAUUAGCAUGGUAAUCUGAAUACUUUUCCCUUAAACAACGCCUCUACUCUGGCUACUCCCCUAUCACGUCUUUCUUGCCUCACCGGUUUCACCUUUAGGAUGACAUAGUUCUUUGAGAUUUUUCUUCUUUUCACUUUGCUAAUAAACUUCUUAACAUGUUAUUCUUCGAAUAAUUCUACUAUAAAGUAACUAACAUGAACUUAUUUUAUCAUAUCAUGAUUGUCAGAAAUUUAUGAAUUUAGCUAUUCAUAAUCACAAAUAUAAAUACAUGUUCUGGUAAAUCUGAUAAUUCUAGAUUUUCCAUAGCUGUUUGAUGAUUCAUAGCUUUUCCUUGGAAAUAUACCUAUUUUUAUUAAAUAAUUCAAAAGUUUUGUGUACAAGAGAGGGUUUUGCUUCAACUCAUGAAGACUUGCCCUUUAUCUGAGCGAAUUCUCGUCUAUUUAUAUCCUCUAAAAUGAAAGACGUAAACUCUAUAUUCUCCCAAAUUUUUUACACGUAUCUUUCGUAAUAAUUCAUAUCUUACAAAAAAGUCAAAAAGGCUAGGCUAUAAAGUUAGAUACCCUAAAAAGAAAACAAGACUUAUCUAUACAAAAGUCUUACAAAACUAAAAAUUUACGAAUAAGAGUUAAAGGCUAUACAAUAUGUCACUUUCUAGUCAUUUAUUAACUUGUCUUCUUCUAUUAUUGCUCUGUUAUUAUCUUCUUUUUAUCUUCUUCUUGUCGUAUGUGCUGUUUUUUUAUCUUCCUGCUAUUGUAGCAUCAUAUAUGGAAUAAAGUUGUCUGCCACUACAUUUGUUGCAUAUGUGGUCAUCGUAUUUUUGGCCAACUUGUUUACAGAAUUGAUCCAUAGCUUCUUUUGAAAUAACUCUUUUCGUAAUAGAUCUUGUGACUGCUAACUCUUGUGGUUUUAGGAUCGUCAUGACCCAUUUUUUUUUAUCUCUUCUCUGUCAUUUUCUCUAAUAUUUUUACAAGUAGAGUAAGCCAAAAAUUGAUUUCUGUUAUAGUAAAUCCAAACUGAGUUUUGAUUUAUAUAAUUAUUUGCUAACUCAGUCAAUAUACUUCUAAGUCCAAUAACUCUCUUGUUUCGGUAGAAGUUCGGUAGCUGAUUUUUGGUUAUCUCUUCUUGUUUGCAUAUUUCUUCAGGGAUUAUAUAAUCUCGUGUCAUUCAUAUCUUGACAAUAGUAAUUGUCUAUUUUAUUUCAUUAAACAAUAUUUUUGCUGGUGCUGAGUAGAAAUGGACAUAGAAUAACUGUCCCUUCGUAAUCCUCUUAUAAUCCAUAAAUUCUUUGUAAAUAUAUGGAAUUCCUGUUAACUCUUCUCCAGUAGUUGCGUAGACUGUAGAUAAUAGUCCAUAACAGUAACAUAAAGUAAUUAAGUUUGCACUGGUACUAGGCAAAACAAUAAGUUUGUUAUAGUUCUGAUAUUUUUGUGUAAUCUAUCCUUGGUGUUGUUUUGCUAAAUAUUUACUCUGGAUAGGUUUUGUAUUUAAUAACUUUUGUAAAGUAAAAUACUAUCAAUAUAUGUACGAGUGAUAUGGUUAUAAGUCUUCUUUUGUUGAUUGAGUGACUCGGAAUAUGUGUGUAUCUGGGGAGGUAUAGAUGACUAUGAUUUUUGUAUAUUUGGUGUAUAUGGUUUGAGAAUAUCUGGUUGAGGUUAUAAUUCCUUUUUUUGGUUGUUCAGGUUUAUUUUGAGUGACUAUAUUCUAUCCCUUGGAUACAUCACUUGCACCUGUAGCUGUAACUGUAAUUUCUUUAGUAAUUUGAGUUUUUAGGUGUUUCUCAUCAUCACCUUCUAGGUCUAGUUUUUUAAUGUGCUCUUUCUGCACAGUAUCUUUGCUAAUAGCUUAUUGUUUUUUUAUAGUGCUCAACCUGCACUUUUACAUUUGUAACUUCAGUAGUUAAUGUGAUAACUCAUUCUUGUAAUAACUUUAUUUGUUCAAACACUUGUAAUAUUAAGUCUGUUUAACUAUCUUUGACAUCAGCUUCUUCCAUUGGUAAAUCAGUUUGAGUAAUUUGAGUUUUUAGGGUAUCUUUGACAUCAGCUUCUUCCAUUGGUAAAUCAGUUUGAGUAAUUUGAGUUUUUAGGUGUUUCUCAUCGUCACUUUCUAGGUCUAGUUUUUUAAUGUGCUCUUCCUGCACAGUAUCUUUUCUAAUAGCUUUUUCUUAUUUUUUAUAGUGGUCAACCACCACUUUACAUUUGUAACUUCUGUAGUUAGUGUGAUAACUCUUUCUUGUAAUAACUUCAUUUGUUCAAACACUUGUAAUAUUAAGUCUGUUUGGGUAUCUUUGACAUCAGCUUCUUCCAUUGGUAAAUCAGUUUGAGUAGAUUUGUCUUGAUAUGUAAUCUGCAAUAAAAUUCUUGUCAGUCAUGAUUACUUCAAUCGUAAAUGUAAAAUUUAAUAUAUUCAAUACUAAUCUCCGAAUUUCCUUCAUCGUAACUGAGUUUUGUAUUUUUCUUGUUAACCACCAUCGAACCUGGGUAUUAUCUGUCCUCACAAUAAAUUUGUUAUAUACAAUGUAUGGUUCAAAUGCUAAUAAACAUUUAUAUAAUGAACAUAAUUCUUUUCUAUUUAUUUUCUAUUUUAUUUCUGUUCCAUUAAACGUACCUGAGUAGUAUCUACAAUGAUAUUCUAAUUUUUCUUCUUCAUAUCUAUAUUUAAGUACUCCUCCAUAACUAUAUUCACUAGCAUCUGCUUCUACUAUAUAUAUAAAAUUUUUAUUUUCAUUUGGAAAUUGUAAUUUUGGUAACUCUUUACAAAGUAUUUUUAUUUUUUGAACUUAUUUUUUGUCUUCUUCGUUGUAAUUAUAUUCUACGUCCUUUCUUAAUUUUUUCUGUAAUGGUUUUAGGUUUUCUGCUAAUUUUUGUAUAUGUUCUCUUACCUGAUUCACUAAUCCUAAGAGCUAUUGUAAUUUCUUUUUUGUAUCUAAUUCUUCUUUUGAAUUUAUUAUUUUUUGUACUAUAUGUUGUUGCAUUUUUACUCCACUUUUAUAUAUUUGUAUUCCUAAAAACUCUAUUUGGUUUUUCAUUAUUUCGGCUUUCUUUUCACUUAAACUUAUUCCCGAUUUUUCUAUUANNNNNNNNNNNNNNNNNNNNNNNNNNNNNNNNNNNNNNNNNNNNNNNNNNNNNNNNNNNNNNNNNNNNNNNNNNNNNNNNNNNNNNNNNNNNNNNNNNNNNNNNNNNNNNNNNNNNNNNNNNNNNUUUAGUUUUUGUAUAUAAUAGUAUAUCAUCUAUGUAUACUAUACAAUUAGGUAAUUGUUUAAAAUAACUAUCUAUAAAGUGUUGAUAUCUACUUGGUGCAUUUUUAUAUCCAAAUGGUAAUACGUUUCAUUCAUAAAAUUCUUGUGGUACUGUAAAUGCGAUUAAUUUCUUAGAUUCUUCUUCUAACUUUAAGUGGUAAAAUCAUGAUUUACAGUCAAAUUUACUAAAAUAGUUAUAUCCUGUAUUUGUCUUAUUUUUAAUAUCUUAUUUGGUAUUGGGUAAUUAAAUGUCAUAGUUUUUGCAUUUAAAUUUCUAUAAUCAAUAACAAUUCUACUUUUACCUUUUGUUUGUUCACUAUAUUUAUUUACUAUAAAUGCUAGACUAUUGUGUUUACUAUUACUUUUAUGUAUAUAUUUUUUCUAGUAAUUCAUCUAUAUGCAUUUUAAAUUCUUUUAAAUCGUCAAAAUUAUAUGUUAAUGGUUUUUGAGUUAUUAUGCUAUUUUUAUCUAUUAAUUCAAUUUUUAUAGUAGUUUUAUGUUUUUUCCAUCCUUUUAAUGGAUAUUCACUGUAUAGUUGUCUUAAUUUUUUCUUUAUUAUUCCUACCUUAUCUAUUGAAAAUAUGGUUAUUUCUUUUUUAUUUAUUGAAAAUACAACUAGUUUUACUGUGUCUUCUGUAUUUUUUAUAUUUUCUAACUUUUGUGUAAUUUUUUCGCUUCCUUUUAUCCAAUCAGUUUUCUUUCUUAUUUUAUUAAUAACCCUUUUUGCUCUUACUUUUUGUUUGUAUGGUGUUGUAAACCACCAAUCUAUUUUAGUUAUUAUAUGUGGGUAUAAUUUAUCUAAAAAUGACAUCCCUAAAAGCAUAUCUUUUGAUGUUAGUUCAUAAUUAUAGAUUUCUUCUAUUGUUAUUAUUUUAUCCCAUAUCUGUAUUUUUACACUUUUAGCUAUAUAUGUAAUUAAACUUCCUUCAUUAUUAAAUCUUUUGACUACUAUUGGUGUUUUUAAUUUAUCAAUUUACUUUCUGGUAAAUAGUUGUAUCUAUAUAAGUUUGUUUCUGCUCCUGUAUCUAUUAUAGGUGUAUAAUACCUGUUAUAAUAUCCUUCUACUAUUAUUUUUACAAGUAUAUAAAUUUUCAUGUCAUGUCAAAGUUCUUUUUAUGAAUAAUUUCUCUUUAUUAUAUGUUAUAGAUAAUUGUGUAUGUUCUAUAUUGUAUGAUUUUACUUGUUCUAACCAUUUUAUUCCUGAUAUUAUAUCUUCUUUUUGCAUUUCUUCUUUUAUUUCAAAUUCUAUUUUUAAUAGGGGCGAGGUGGUUUUUUGGGAUAGGAAUGGGUUCCAGCUACGACAGUCGCCACAUCCUCUUUCUUCUUUCUACCUCCAAAUGCGCCAGAUCUACCUUGAAUCGCUUGUGUGGUGGCUUUUAAUGCAGCAAAACUCACUAUUCGGCCGGUCUUAAUUCCGUCCUCUAUCAUCUCUCCCAUUUUGAGGACUUCCAUAAAAGAUUUUCCCAUUGCCGGAAGUAAAUGCUGAAAAUAGGUCUCAUCCUGCACCUGAAUGAAAACUUCUACCAACUUAGUUUCUUUCAUUAGAGGCUUUACCCUGGCGGCCUGUUCACGCCACCUUAUCGUGUAUUCUCUAAAACCUUCAGUGCUCUUUUUCUUCAUGUUGACUGAGGAUUUUUUAUCCAGAAUCAGGUCGAUGUUGUACUGAAAAUGUUGAACAAAUUCAGAAGCCAAAUCAUCCUAGCUGUUCCAUUUAUCGAUAUCUCGAUCGAUAAACCAUUCUGAGGCCAGAUCUGAAAGACUUUCGCCAAAGAAGGCCAUGAGCAGUUCCUCGUUUCCUUCUACAGCCCUCAACAGGUUGCAAUAACGUCUUAAGUGUGCCACGAGAUCACCGUGUCCUGCUUACUUCUCGAACUUAGGCAUCUUAAAAUCGGGGGGGAGGUUGAUGUCUGGGACCAUGCAAAGAUCUUUAUAGGAAGCACUCCUAUAAUCUCUGAUUCCUUGCAAAUUCCUCAUAGCUUGUUCUAAACUUUUCAAUUUCCGGGCUAUGAUGUCAUGUUCCUCUACUGCGACAGGUUUCUCCGUAUCAAAUGGAAAUGCAGGCGGCUGAGUGUACCCAUACGGUUCAUUCAUUUGCAAAGUAGGCUCAGGGGCAUAAUACUGACUAUCUGGAACCUUCAGCACGGGCUCACUGGCAGACCUAGGAAGCCUCAUUGUGGGACGCACAACAUAUACGGGAGUUUCAUGUGGUGGCGGAGCCAUGAAUACCGGUGUGAUCGGUGGCGCUGGCUGAGCAGCUAGUCUUAAUUGGGGAGCUGCCAAGGGCACACCAGAACUACCAGGAUAAUAAUGUCGUAGAGUAAAUCUUGGCGCGUGCUCAGGUGACUCAGCAGGAGCAGAGAAUUGUGCCUGAGAGAGCGGUGGGCAGUUAGAGAUAUUCCCAAGACCUUCAGGGAGUGGAGGAGGAGGCAUUCCGCUGGCACAUGCCCGGUGUAAAUCUAUCAAUUGUUGCCUAAGCCUUACUACCUCAUCAUUGUAUUUAGAACUUUCUUCCCUGUGAUCCUGAUCCGGGUCAAUGAGCGAAUUUUCAAUCUCCCUGCUAGCCAUGGCGAGCUUUGCUUUGGAUCUAGUGAAGUAUGGGUGACUAGCUAGAGUGCUGCAAACCUACCACUGUUAUCUGAAAGAACAUGCUCAUCAAAGAUGACAUCCGUUACGAUUAGGGCACACAACAAGCAUGGGAAUCACAUUGGUAAAAUUGUCCUAAAUUCAUGUUCAUUUCUACCAGCUUUUGAGGGUAGCGAGGUCAUUUUAACAUCAUCCUGAUUUUUGUCUACACUUUUUUUUUAUCUACACUUAUUAUUAUUAUUAUUAUAUUUCGUAUCCAUCUCUGUUCUAUUCCAUUCUCUCAUUAUCUACCUUUAUUUUAUCAUUCUUUAUGGCUUUUGUUUUUCUUUAAAAGAGGAAAAAUAAUGAAAAACAACGAAACAAAAUGAUUAGAUCGAACCCAAAAGUAGGUUACCUACGUAUCAUGUUGUACAUGAAUCAGAUCUUGCGUAGUUCGGGCCAAUCAUUUUGUUUUUGUGAAAACGAAAAUAAAUAAACAAGGAAAGACGUAACAUCAUAACAUUUUGAAGAAACAAAACAACAAAAACGUACAAAAGUUCGGGACCACUUUAAAACUAAACAACAAAUACGAAACAACAUUUUAGACCCCUAAGACGACAUAGGUGAAAUUACUAAAAAAGACUCUAAUACCAAAAACAACUUGACUUUGACUUAAAACAGACUCCACCCUAUAAUGACAGACACAUAAAAGACUCAAACUGAAUAAAGAUAAGAAGUGCUCUUUCAGACUGGUGCUCUGCGUGAUGAUCGACCUGUCUAUGAAGUUCUCUUUCUCCCAUUUAAACUUUGUAUCAUAUCCUGUAAAGACACCCUGAUACCGGGGAGGAAGCUUCGGGCCCGUAUUCCUGCUUCAUGAGGAGUGCACUUGGAAAGAUUAUUCUGACACCUUUCUACCGUCUUGAACAAAUCUGCUAACUGAACUCUCAGUGUUUCCACUUUGGACCCUACACUUUCAUCCUGAUGGUCGUCAACUAUGCAGUCUUCCUGUAUUCUCCCUCUAAGCUGCGCUGGUAAGGGUUGACUGAUACCCCGAGGAAUAGAUUGAAGUCAUAACCCAUAUCCUUGAGUGCAGCCCGAAUUAUCCAAACUUUUUUUGAGUGUGUCCACACCCAACUUUGUUGCAUGCUUCCAAAACUGCUCAUACUUGCUUUCACCUAAGGCUUGGUCGUUGAAGUACUCAACAUCCUUCAGAAGAUCCACUGCUGGCGGCACGUCCUGCAGCCUACCCAACUGGCGCAUUACUCUAGAAGGACUGUAUGGUCUAGCGCAAUUGAGCCCUAACAUAACUAAAGGGAGCUGCGUCUGACAACCCAGCAAGAUUAUCUUCGGUCGAAGCCACAGAUAAGUCCACAAAAUGUUAUCCCCAGUUCUUGAUUCAAGAAAUUCAAUCCAAGCCUCAACUCCCACGGGUAAGGAGAAUUUAUCCAAACGCAACCUGGAGUCCAUCGCUUUCACUCGAUUGGGAAUACAACGAUCUAACACGUAUGAUCUAACUAAAGAAGGCGCAUGCAAAUGCUCCAUGGCCCAUAUCAGCAAUAUCAGGUUACUGCCCUAAAAAAAUCUCCUUCCCCUCUUCACUUCGGUUAAAGCCUUAUAUAUUUCUGUUAAAAUCAUGGGUAUGAGAGUGAACCUGCCCUUUUGAUUAAUGCCCUUGUCGUUUCUAUCCUUAUAAAAUAGGGCCAUCACCACAAAUUGCAAACGGGUAUUAAUAUGUCUUUCUUCUAGUGGAAAUACUAAAGUACCUAACAAAGCGAGGGUGAAGACUUCAAGACGCUUUCUCUCCCACUUCUCCUUAGUCACAUGAAAUUCAUCCCAAAAGCAAUCAAAACCUUCUGAGAGCCCGAAUCUAGCGAACAAAAAAUCUAGGGAAACCCACGAAUCACUUAAACAACCCAAACGGAUACCCUUACUUUUUAAACCACAAGACUACAAAAAUCUCACGCCAGUAUGAUUUCAUACUCGGAUCAUAUCCUUCUCGAUAUAGGGCAAAUGCAACUAACCGGAUAUUUCUGCCAAAGUAGGAGUCAUUUCACAUUCCCCAAACCUGAACACCAAACUACUUGGAUUCAAAAAGGUCAACAAAGCCUCUAUUAAAUCUGGACGAGGGGUAACAUGCAGAAGUUCCGUAAGAUCACCUAAUAUUUUAAUCAGUUUCUACUGAUCAACAUUGUUAAACAUUUCCCACCAUUUGAUUAACUUUUUGGGGACCUUGACAACCAUUAGAACUCUAGACUUGGUGGACAAAUCCAUCCUAUAAUAACACACAAGACGUUAUCUCAAAAAUUCGACAAGAGUAGAAGAUUCCAAACCCUUGGAAUUUUUGACGCAAAUAUAUGUCGAUGGGACAGACCAUAUUCAUGACUCCCAUUUGCCGAACAGAAGUACUGAGCGAAAUCAGUCUACUUGGCAAACAACUCUAGAUUACGGGGCGAGAGACCUAGGCUAAUAAUAAGACAAAGGCCAACACAAAAAAUUACCAGACCCACCGAGGGUUGCCUACGUAUCCCAACCUAAGGGAAGGGAAUCAGGUAUGCGUAGUUCAUCCAGAUUGGACAAUUAACGAUUAACUUCUAAAUUGACCCUAACUUAGGAGACACUACCAAAAACAAACGAAAAAAAAAAAACUUUUGGAUUUUCAGCUAAGACUGACACUACCAAUUAUGAAGGAAAAAGUCUUUUUGGUAUUUUUUUUUUUGUUUUUUUUGACAAAUAAGUAGAAAAGGCAAAUAAAACGUUUUUUUCGCUUUUAUGGUAUUUUGAGAAGACAAAUGCAAAACGUAAAAAAAAUCUUUUUGAGUUUUUGAAUUGUGAAGAACAAAAGCCAUAAAGAAUUCUAAAAUAAACUACGAAAUUCCUCUUUUUUUUUUUCAUUCUUUUCAACUCACUUUUUCUAUUUUUUUUCUUUUUCGUUUUUGCCUACGCACCUUAAUCCUAACAAUUUUUUUUUUAAUAUAUANNNNNNNNNNNNNNNNNNNNNNNNNNNNNNNNNNNNNNNNNNNNNNNNNNNNNNNNNNNNNNNNNNNNNNNNNNNNNNNNNNNNNNNNNNNNNNNNNNNNNNNNNNNNNNNNNNNNNNNNNNNNNNNNNNNNNNNNNNNNNNNNNNNNNNNNNNNNNNNNNNNNNNNNNNNNNNNNNNNNNNNNNNNNNNNNNNNNNNNNNNNNNNNNNNNNNNNNNNNNNNNNNNNNNNNNNNNNNNNNNNNNNNNNNNNNNNNNNNNNNNNNNNNNNNNNNNNNNNNNNNNNNNNNNNNNNNNNNNNNNNNNNNNNNNNNNNNNNNNNNNNNNNNNNNNNNNNNNNNNNNNNNNNNNNNNNNNNNNNNNNNNNNNNNNNNNNNNNNNNNNNNNNNNNNNNNNNNNNNNNNNNNNNNNNNNNNNNNNNNNNNNNNNNNNNNNNNNNNNNNNNNNNNNNNNNNNNNNNNNNNNNNNNNNNNNNNNAUUUUUUAUUCAGAGUCGCCACUUGGCAUAAUCUGGUGUACCGAGUCACCGUUACAUAAUCCUUUCCAAAACCAUUUGACUCUUUAAAUUGGUGUGUGAACAGAGAUUCCGGCUAAGGAAUUCUGUUGACUGAGGGGAAGGUGUUAGGCACCUCUCAAUCCCGUGGUUCAACCACAGUCGCUUGGUAGAGUGUAUCAACUAUUUUUGGCAUUAUGAAAUGUACAAACCAUUAAAAAGCACGCUAAAUAAUCAAGCAACAAACAAACAAUCCAGAAAUGUAAAGUCUAGUCCAAUUAUACAGUCCAAAAAUAAAUAACGCGGAAAUAUAAAUCUAUUCUACCCUAGACUAAUCUCCAAUGCCUUACCCGAUUUCGCGAGCCUUCAUCAUGAUCAUUUUCCACCAACAUGAUACGUCGGGGCAUUCUCCGGUGAAUAAGUACAGAAGACCUCGGGGCAUUCCCCGGCUAAAUGAAUACAUUUGAAUCGCAUGCGAUAAAGUAGAAAACAUUCAACACAUACUCCACAUUCAAACAAAACAUCAAUCUUAAAUUCUUGCCUACCCAAACCUAUAUUGCCUAUCCAUUUCAAUAUGGCGUAAGUAUAUCACAUUCACUUGUACCGAACGGAAUAAAAGACAACAAACCAACAUUAAUCUACGUUCAAUUUUUUUAUCAAUUUCUCCAUUCCUUCCCUAAAUCCCCUUAUCAAUCCAUUAGAGCAUGAUCAAAUUCAUUCUUCAAACCACCAAAAAUCGACCCACCAAACAUCAUGAUCAUAACAAUCGACAUCAACAAAGUCCAACAAAAAUGUAAUCACAACACACAUAUUCACAAUCCAUUCAACACACUAGGAUAGAUAAAAAGAGA